GAUGAACGCUGGCGGCGUGCCUAAUACAUGCAAGUCGAGCGAACAGACGAGGAGCUUGCUUCUCUCACGUUAGCGGCGGACGGGUGAGUAACACGUGUAUAACCUACCUAUAAUAGUGAUAUCACUUCGGGAAACCGGAGCUAAUACCGGAUAAUCUAUUGAACCGCAUGGUUCAAUAGUGAAAGACGGCUUUGCUGUCACUUAUAGAUGGAUCCGCGCCGCAUUAGCUAGUUGGUAAGGUAACGGCUUACCAAGGCAACGAUGCGUAGCCGACCUGUGAGGGGGAUCGGCCACACGGGAAGUGGGACACGGUCCAGACUCCUACGGGAGGCAGCAGUAGGGAAUCUUCCGCAAUGGGCGGAAGCUUGGCGGAGCAACGGCAAGUGAGUGAUGAAGGUCUUGGGAUCGUAAAACUCUGUUAUUAGGGAAGAACAAAUGUGUAAGUAACUAUGCACGUCUUGACGGUAACUAAUCAGAAAGCCACGGCUAACUACGUG
This 497-nucleotide ribosomal RNA is filed under the name uncultured bacterium. RNAcentral's name for it is "partial 16S ribosomal RNA". It matches the Rfam family "Bacterial small subunit ribosomal RNA", at positions 28 to 507 of the family's 1533-position model. The record is from RNAcentral.